UAACUUCGGGAAACCGGAGCUAAUACCGGAUAAUAUUUCGAACCGCAUGGUUCGAUAGUGAAAGAUGGCUUUGCUAUCACUUAUAGAUGGACCUGCGCCGUAUUAGCUAGUUGGUAAGGUAACGGCUUACCAAGGCAACGAUACGUAGCCGACCUGAGAGGGUGAUCGGCCACACUGGAACUGAGACACGGUCCAGACUAAUACGGGAGGCAGCAGUAGGGAAUCUUCCGCAAUGGGCGAAAGCCUGACGGAGCAACGCCGCGUGAGUGAUGAAGGUCUUCGGAUCGUAAAACUCUGUUAUUAGGGAAGAACAAACGUGUAAGUAACUGUGCACGUCUUGACGGUACCUAAUCAGAAAGCCACGGCUAACUACGUGCCAGCAGCCGCGGUAAUACGUAGGUGGCAAGCGUUAUCCGGAAUUAUUGGGCGUAAAGCGCGCGUAGGCGGUUUUUUAAGUCUGAUGUGAAAGCCCACGGCUCAACCGUGGAGGGUCAUUGGAAACUGGAAAACUUGAGUGCAGAAGAGGAAAGUGGAAUUCCAUGUGUAGCGGUGAAAUGCGCAGAGAUAUGGAGGAACACCAGUGGCGAAGGCGACUUUCUGGUCUGUAACUGACGCUGAUGUGCGAAAGCGUGGGGAUCAAACAGGAUUAGAUACCCUGGUAGUCCACGCCGUAAACGAUGAGUGCUAAGUGUUAGGGGGUUUCCGCCCCUUAGUGCUGCAGCUAACGCAUUAAGCACUCCGCCUGGGGGAGUACGACCGC
Molecule: ribosomal RNA, 760 nt
Filed under: Staphylococcus sp. D11_84
Lineage: Bacteria; Bacillati; Bacillota; Bacilli; Caryophanales; Staphylococcaceae
Description: bacterial SSU rRNA
Rfam family: Bacterial small subunit ribosomal RNA
Source: RNAcentral